Molecule: long non-coding RNA, 1551 nt
Filed under: Bos indicus x Bos taurus (hybrid cattle)
Lineage: Eukaryota; Metazoa; Chordata; Mammalia; Artiodactyla; Bovidae
Description: lncRNA (ENSBIXG00000017026.1)
Source: RNAcentral
AUGAUGAGAAGUGUGUGUGUCCGUGUCUGUGUGUGUGUGUCUGUUGUCUGUGUGUGUCUAUCUGUAUUUGUGUUGUGUGUGUGCCUGUGUUGUCUGUGUCUGUGUGUUGUGUGUGUGUCUGUGUGUCUGUGUCUGUUGUCUGUGUGUGUCUAUCUGUAUCUGUGUUGUGUGUGUGCCUGUGUUGUCUGUGUCUGUGUGUUGUGUGUGUGUGUGUCUGUGUCUGUUGUCUGUGUGUGUCUAUCUGUAUUUGUGUUGUGUGUGUGCCUGUGUUGUCUGUGUCUGUGUGUUGUGUGUGUGUCUGUGUGUCUGUGUCUGUUGUCUGUGUGUGUCUAUCUGUAUCUGUGUUGUGUGUGUGCCUGUGUUGUCUGUGUCUGUGUGUUGUGUGUGUGUGUCUGUGUGUCUGUGUCUGUUGUCUGUGUGUGUCUAUCUGUAUCUGUGUUGUGUGUGUGCCUGUGUUGUCUGUGUCUGUGUGUUGUGUGUGUGUGUCUGUGUGUCUGUUGUCUGUGUGUGUCUAUCUGUAUCUGUGUUGUGUGUGUGCCUGUGUCUGUGUGUUGUGUGUGUGCCUGUGUUGUCUGUGUCUGUGUGUUGUGUGUGUGUGUGUCUGUGUCUGUUGUCUGUGUGUGUCUAUCUGUAUUUGUGUUGUGUGUGUGCCUGUGUUGUCUGUGUCUGUGUGUUGUGUGUGUGUCUGUGUGUCUGUGUCUGUUGUCUGUGUGUGUCUAUCUGUAUUUGUGUUGUGUGUGUGCCUGUGUUGUCUGUGUCUGUGUGUUGUGUGUGUGUGUCUGUGUGUCUGUGUCUGUUGUCUGUGUGUGUCUAUCUGUAUCUGUGUUGUGUGUGUGCCUGUGUUGUCUGUGUCUGUGUGUUGUCUGUGUGUGUCUGUGUGUCUGUUGUCUGUGUGUGUCUAUCUGUAUCUGUGUUGUGUGUGUGCCUGUGUUGUCUGUGUCUGUGUGCUGUGUGUGUGUGUGUGUGUGUGUCGUCUGUGUGUGUCUAUCUGUAUCUGUGUUGUGUGUGUGCCUGUGUUGUCUGUGUGUGUGUGUUGUGUGUGUGUGUCUGUGUGUCUGUGUCUGUUGUCUGUGUGUAUCUAUCUGUAUCUGUGUUGUGUGUGUGCCUGUGUUGUCUGUGUCUGUGUGUCUAUCUGUGUCUGUGUUUUGUGUUGUCUGUCUGUAUUGUGUCUGUGUGUGUGUGGUGGUAACAGCACAAAGGCCCAAGUGCUCUGGUAGAAGGGCAGGAAUGGCAGUGGGCUGGAGUGGGGGAUCUUGGUGGGCUGAUGGGGUACAGCUGUGGGUGGGGAGGCUCCUGAGAAGGCCCAUCAGAGGCGGUGGUGCUGGGAUGACGAGGGAGGGAGGUGAGCCACCGAGUUUCCAGAGUAGUUGCUGCAUCUCCACACUCUGGCCAGGCCAGGCUCAGGACUCCUUCCCCAGGCUGCCCAUCUGCUCCCAAGAUGACCCAAGGCUUCCUCUAGGCUCCGGGCUACAGCCUCUCUCUCAGCACUUUGUCCAGGGAAAGGUUCCCAAGGGACUGGGAAGGCACUGGCUGGGCCAGUCUCUGACCUGA